RNAcentral lists this unclassified non-coding RNA (261 nucleotides) under Archaeorhizomycetes sp. Its description in RNAcentral is "partial contains 5.8S ribosomal RNA, internal transcribed spacer 2, and large subunit ribosomal RNA". The stretch from base 1 to 67 matches the Rfam family "5.8S ribosomal RNA", at positions 84 to 154 of the family's 154-position model. The record is from RNAcentral. Lineage: Eukaryota; Fungi; Ascomycota; Archaeorhizomycetes.
GUGAGUCAUCGAAUCUUUGAACGCACAUUGCGCCUCCCGUUGGGGAGGCAUGCCUGUCUGAGCGUCGUUUAAACCAAUAAACCUCUUUGGGUUUGUGUUGAGCCUUGCCCUCAUGGGCAUCGCUUUGAAGCCAUCGGUCUCUAUGAAGUGGGCUGGUUCCCUUAGGACAUGGCCAUUUUCGAGACCCGAAACUCUUUGAACUUUCGACCUCAGAUCAGGUAGGGACACCGCCUGAACUUAAGCAUAUCAAUAAGCGGAGGA